AGCGAACGCUGGCGGCAGGCUUAACACAUGCAAGUCGAACGGACUCUUCGGGGUUAGUGGCGGACGGGUGAGUAACACGUGGGAACGUGCCUUUAGGUUCGGAACAACACAGGGAAACUUGUGCUAAUACCGAAUGUGCCCUUCGGGGGAAAGAUUUAUCGCCUUUAGAGCGGCCCGCGUCUGAUUAGCUUGUUGGUGGGGUAAAGGCUCACCAAGGCUACGAUCAGUAGCUGGUCUGAGAGGAUGGCCAGCCACAUUGGGACUGAGACACGGCCCAAACUCC
This 283-nucleotide ribosomal RNA is filed under the name uncultured bacterium. Its description in RNAcentral is "partial 16S ribosomal RNA". It matches the Rfam family "Bacterial small subunit ribosomal RNA", at positions 29 to 339 of the family's 1533-position model. The record is from RNAcentral.